CUGUGUGGCUCAGUUGGUAGAGCAUGGUGUUUGCAACGCCAGGGUUGUGGGUUCGAUUCCCAGUACGG
Non-coding RNA from Salmo salar (Atlantic salmon), 68 nucleotides. The record is from Rfam. NCBI's taxonomy places the organism in Eukaryota, Metazoa, Chordata, Actinopteri, Salmoniformes, Salmonidae.